Long non-coding RNA from Oryzias melastigma (Indian medaka), 526 nucleotides. RefSeq lists it as uncharacterized. The transcript has 2 exons. NCBI's taxonomy places the organism in Eukaryota, Metazoa, Chordata, Actinopteri, Beloniformes, Adrianichthyidae. The record is from RefSeq and is a predicted model, not a curated record.
UGAUUUUAAUGAGUGCAUUGAUUAAAAAUAUGAAUGCAAGCUUCUGCUUGACAAUGGCAGAGCCCAAUGAGAGGACACAAAAGACAGCAGCGGUGAUCCUGAGGUUGACUUAAUACAAGGUUGACACAGAAGGCAUAAAGAACAUGUUCCCCGUAGAGAGUAAAGCCGGGAGCCAAGGUCGAUAGAACUGCGAGAGAAGUUAGCUAUUAAAACAAACGGUGAUGUGCAGCAUCAGAGUAACUUCCUAAGAAAUACAACGCGGCGUACGGCAGCACAGGUAGUCGUCUGACAGAGACUAAUAACUCUGGAUACCUGCUGGAAAAGGUUCAAUAAAGAAGCAAGCCAGAAUGAACAGAAUGUUUUUCUCUGAACCGUAAAAGUUGCUGAGCCUGAACACUAGUGAAAUGUUUUCUCAGAAAAACGAGGAAAAACAAAUAUUAAGUGAAAAAAAAGGGAAGCUGACAUUUAAAAUAACCACUGUGGGGAUAAGGCGAUGGAGUAAAAAAUGCAAAAAAAAAAGACAAAA